This is a long non-coding RNA of Telopea speciosissima, 266 nucleotides long. RefSeq lists it as uncharacterized. The transcript has 3 exons. The record is from RefSeq and is a predicted model, not a curated record. NCBI's taxonomy places the organism in Eukaryota, Viridiplantae, Streptophyta, Magnoliopsida, Proteales, Proteaceae.
AAAAAGAGUAGGGAGAAGAAAGAAACACAAUAUUAUUAUUUAUUUUCUCAUCAUGCUUAUCGACUAGCAUUUUUUAAUACAUCAUUCCUUAUUAAUAACAAAUUAGCACACAUAGGAACAAGAAAUGAUACUGCUUUCCCAUAACUGCACUUUGACUAAUCUACCCCUUCUGAAUACAAGGAUGAUAAUGUUACAUACUUUAUAAUUCUUCACAGUGAAAUGUAGGAAAGAGUAAGAACAAUAUUCAUGACUAAGGCACACAAGAA